GGCACCGGCGGUGUAGCUGAUACGGUGGAGCGUUCGCUUCGCAUGCGAGAGGCACGGGGUUCGAUUCCCUGCACCUCCGUGCCGUUUUCAGUUUUAGCCUUUCGUCCUUCCUUUUUGAAAGCGAACUUGUGCCCCACAGUCUGUACACUCUUUUUCACUGGCCACUGGCCAAGUUGUCAGUGAAUUCGUGAUAUUGUAUUAAAGGAAAACGAUGGCUCAUUGAAUCAUACAAAAAUGACUAGCUAAGAAAGAUAAGGUAUAAAGAAUGAAUUUCAAAGAAUUGAUUUGAUCCACCUGCUGAAUCCAAAAGGUCUAAGAAAGAAUCUCUCUUCUCUACUUGGCUGCCCAUGCAACUGCAUCUAUCUCUGCUUGGGCACUUCUGUACAAUUCCAGUCUCUUCGCAAGGGAGGUACGUCGCUGCAUCACUGCUGGAUCCUCGUCCAACAAAGAAGACAACUGUUUUGUCUCUUUCUUACCCAACUCUGCAAAGAAAUAAUCAAGUAAACUGCGUUUUGCUUCCCUCACUUGACUAUAGACAACAGACUUGGGAAUAGAAUUUCUCAAACUUGCACAAACCAUGUUCACGUACGACAGUACAUUGCUUCCUGUAAGUUGAUAAUAACACAAAUAAAAAAAUCAACAUGUUAAAAAUUCUAGGAUCAUGGACCACCACAGUGCACCAAUCAGGAUGGAGAAACACUGCAUGUUUCAUUAUCCAAGUUGAUUUGCUGGUUCUUCCAUUUUUAUUCCCUAUCUCUUUUUUCUUUCUUUAACAAAUGGAUGACCUUACACCCUCCACUAACCACUCGAUACCACUUAUCCCGAGCAAGAUAUCAUGGGUUCAGAACUCCCAAGCAUAUAGCAGUCCCUUAAUUGGGCGUCUUUGAGGCAAGCCAUACCUUACUCUAAAUUAAACAUGCAGCUCAGAUGUUCUAUUGACAAGGUUGCUUCUAGCCACUUACCAACUCGCCUAAGAUAAGAAUCAUUAUAUCGGUCAAAAAUUGAAUGUGCAGGAUUUCCACCCUUCUCAACAUCUUGAGGAAGUUUCCGGAAAAAUUCCACAGUCAAGUAACAACACUCCAUAUCGACUAGCUGUAAAGUUGCUUUCUUGCUUUCUUCCCUCAUCCGCUCCAAUGAUUCAAUAGCUGCAUUGCUGACUUCCACUCUCAGAGUAGGAUACUGCUUUAGUUCCAAGGUCUCACUGAUAGACUUUUGAACUAGCUCCUUCAGUAUAGCAUGGACCGCAUCUACAGCUGCCUCAGCAGGAGCUCUGAUAGUUACCAGAGUAGAUUCAAUAAGACGGCGAUAACCUUGCUCAGGAGCUAUUAGAUGUGGCUGAUAUCCAUCAGCUUCACAUAUUAGCUUUCUUACAUUGUCCAUUGAAAGGUGUUUAUCAAAUUGCAACCUCUUGAGAGCAGCAGGUAACUGAUUAUCGAACACAAGAUAGAUUUUCUCACCACCAGAACGUAUUCCAUCAAGACGUUCUUUAAAUAUUUGAUCAAAAGAACGGCAAAUUUCCAUUAUCAUGUAUAAUUUUCCCCCAGCAUCAGUAGCAACGGGCUUCCCAAGACGACUCAAUUCUGAUUCUAGUUCAGCAAUAGUUUUGUUGAUAAGAGACUGAAGGCCAGGAAUUCGAGACUUGAUGACUUGUUCCAAAUGCUUAGAAAGCAUCUUUCCUAAAUGCUCAGAGCCCAUCCUUUGAGCAAGAUGCCGGUACUCAGGGCUACUUUGAAAAUAUUCCCUCUCUCUACGACGAGCAGCAAUCAUGUCCACACUUUUGUUGAUAUCAGCCUGAGAGCGGUUAACAACACCAAUCCAAGGGAACUGUAGCUUAUAUGAUCUUCCUUCCAAGAUAUCAACUGCAUCAGUACCCUUGUCCAUGAGAUCAAUCUUCGUCAAAACUCCAAAGGUUCGCUCCCCUUUGGGGUCAACUUCACGAGAUAUCUUAAUCGCAUCUGACGUAGCAAGAUCCUGAUUGGCAGGAGAAAUUGCCAGAAUAAUACAGUUGGGCUUCUCAAUAUAUGACCGGAUCAUGUUCUCAAUGUCCAUCACAAUACUUUCU
RNAcentral lists this unclassified non-coding RNA (2062 nucleotides) under Hevea brasiliensis (rubber tree). The stretch from base 7 to 79 matches the Rfam family "tRNA". The record is from RNAcentral. Lineage: Eukaryota; Viridiplantae; Streptophyta; Magnoliopsida; Malpighiales; Euphorbiaceae.